Long non-coding RNA from Strongylocentrotus purpuratus (purple sea urchin), 1948 nucleotides. RefSeq lists it as uncharacterized. Lineage: Eukaryota; Metazoa; Echinodermata; Echinoidea; Camarodonta; Strongylocentrotidae. The transcript has 2 exons. The record is from RefSeq and is a predicted model, not a curated record.
UAGUAGCAGCCCUACUACUGACAGGCGCUAACAGUAAACAAGGGGUGCUUGUCCAGCUCAGUUGUUAUUGUGGUUUCUAUUUUGCUAUUUCGAUAUUAUCAUCACUUAAUUAUUUUUAUGUUCUAUAUAAUAAUUAGCACUUUCUAGAAUCUUGAUUGGUGUUAUAAAUGGUACAUUUAGUAACCUCAAUAUCUUAAACUAUUUUGUUAACCCUGUUUUUGGAUAGUUUAGCUUUAUAAUCUUUUUAAAAAAAAUGUCUGACUCUAACCCUAAGUUUAAGGCAGAGCUAGUGAAGUUUCUGGCCGAACAGGUGGCCAAAGAUAAACCUAAGAAGAGUUCCAUAAGGCGAUCUGCAAUUAUGAGUUUGCAGAUGAAGCCAUCUCAUCGGGCCACAUCUGAUAAAUCUCCAGCCGCACUAGUAGUGGGUACCCAAUUCACUGUCUGGGCUGAGGUUGACGGAGUGUGUGCCCUAUGAGUGCCUUAUGGACACUAGGCCGAUCCCAAGUGACAUGCAUAUCUGCUUAUUGUUAUCACAAAAAGUUAGCGCAUCGUCACUUGGAAUCCAUGACGACCUGUUCGUGUUUGGUGCAGGUGGAAUCAGAAGUUCCAUACAUUGGGUACAUCGAGGCCCAUCUGCACUUUCACACUGACAAUUAGGGUUGCGUUCAGUCAGAGAUGACAACGCUGGCACUGGUUAUUUUUAUUUUACAAGUUUUAUUGACAAGUGAGCACCAAACCAAUAUCCUUCAUUGCCACCACCUUUCGGGUGAAGCUCAUUCUACCCAAGAAUGAAGCAUAGUGGAAGGAGGAAUCCUUCGGCAGUUCUCUGGAAAGGGAAUGUCGUCUGAUAGUUGGAUGCGGUGUUUGACCGAAGAGGUGUACCUAAUGUUGAGGUCAUCUACAGAGAAUUACAUCUUGCCAUCUAGGUAGGAAAGUAUGAGAUUGGUUAAUCUCUCUCUGUCCUCUAAAAGUCUGCUGAAAUGUAUUAUUGUAUUAACUUGUAAUUAAAGAUGUCGGGACGCCAUGAUUCUAGGAGGGGAGAGUGUCAGACCCUGUUUAUUAAGGUAUAUUCUAUUUUUUUUAGUAAACCUAUUUUCUAUUUUUGAGUGAGCUUAUAUUACUUUAAAUUGUUGAACCCCUAUUUAAAGUGUACCUUUAAACUAUGUUUCUAUUAAGAUCACCUCUCUGGUAUAUGCUACAGGUGAAACAAAGAGAUGGGAACAAAAAGACCCCUAUUCUAUAGGCCUUGUUUAUGUCUUAAACCCAGACCACUUCCUUUAUUCGUAGAGUACAUAAAUCAUGAAUGACCAGUGGAUACACUUACUGGUACCCCUUUGUCUUGGGGAUGGGGAAUAGUGGGGUUGUUUGCCUGGUUUGGAAGAAAGAUUGGCUUUCUCGUUGAGAGCAAGUUUAGACUUCAAGGCAGAUAGACGUGUGAUGUAACUUCCCCCAGAAGUUACUAUGUCGCAGCUUUUUAAGACCUGCCUUGAUUUUGUUUCUUAACAGUUUCACCAUGGUUCCACCAUGGUUCCAGUUCCAUUUCCCUCGGGACAAGAGUUGGGACUGCUGUCGUUGUUCAGGCAACGCUCUCCGCCUGAUCGAUGUAUUUAGUGCUUACUGACGAACGACUUGUGUUUUAUCAUUUGUACUUAAUAUGAACAUCUAUACUUUUCUUCUAUUUCCCUAAUAUGUUUCUACUGUACAGUGUAGUUUAGUUUGUUCCUUUCCUAUCAGUUAUUUUACCUGUAUAUGUUAAGAGUUAUCACUGUAAGUUUGUGAAGCCUUGCAUGUCGGCUAAAGAUUCCGCUGAUAUAUAUAACUAUUAUAUGUUUACCAAUACAUGUUUUUAUGUAUUAUACUUAUUAUUUGGAUGAGUGAUAUUUUGUAGCUUAGCCUACCUUUGAGGUUAAGUGUUAAUAAAUCCUUUCUUUUGGAUCUUUCACUCAAA